Nothoprocta perdicaria is the source of this 383-nucleotide long non-coding RNA. RefSeq lists it as uncharacterized. Lineage: Eukaryota; Metazoa; Chordata; Aves; Tinamiformes; Tinamidae. The transcript is spliced from 2 exons. The record is from RefSeq and is a predicted model, not a curated record.
UCCACGUAUUGGGUUUUUUUCCUCCUCAUUCGUUCUCAAGAUUCUUCCUUCAAUUUCCUGCUAUAUUUAUGAGCUGUCAUUAAAUCAACUGAUGGCAAGAAAGAUUUGAUAUAGUACCCAGCAAAAAGUCCUGUUAAUAUGUGCUGCGUGACCUUUACUCCAGAAUAUGAUUCGUCUUUUAGGAAACAAAAGACGGUGAUAUCAAGAUGUCCUACAUCUUGACUCCAGCAAUGGAUAAAUAAUUGCACUGGAAAAUUCAAUGAUUCAUCCAAGAAGUCCACAGCCAUCUUCAGAAUCAGACCAAAAUUUCCUGGUUCUCAGCUUGGAACUACUCCUUUCUUUUAGUCUUAUACCUGAAUCUGCUUUCAGAUUAAUAUAAUCUG